AAUUUUGGACAAUGGGGGCAACCCUGAUCCAGCCAUGCCGCGUGAGUGAAGAAGGCCUUCGGGUUGUAAAGCUCUUUCGGCCGGAACGAAAUCGCACGGGUGAAUAGCCCGUGUGGAUGACGGUCCCGGAAUAAGAAGCACCGGCUAACUAAGUGUCAGCAGCCGAGGUAAUACGUAGGGUGCGAGCGUUAAUCGGAAUUACUGGGCGUAAAGCGUGCGCAGGCGGUUUGUUAAGCCAGAUGUGAAAGCCCCGGGCUCCACCUGGGAACUGCGUUUGGUACUGGCAAGCUAGAGUACGGCAGAGGGGGGUGGAAUUCCACGUGUAGCAGUGAAAUGCGUAGAGAUGUGGAGGAACACCGAUGGCGAAGGCAGCCCCCUGGGCCGAUACUGACGCUCAGGCACGAAAGCGUGGGGAGCAAACAGG
This 424-nucleotide ribosomal RNA is filed under the name uncultured bacterium. Its description in RNAcentral is "partial 16S ribosomal RNA". It matches the Rfam family "Bacterial small subunit ribosomal RNA", at positions 360 to 776 of the family's 1533-position model. The record is from RNAcentral.